UAACACAUGCAAGUCGAACGAACCCUUCGGGGUGAGUGGCGCACGGGUGCGUAACGCGUGGGAACCUGCCUUUAGGUUCGGAAUAACAGUUAGAAAUGACUGCUAAUACCGGAUAAUGUCUUCGGACCAAAGAUUUAUCGCCUUUAGAUGGGCCCGCGUUAGAUUAGAUAGUUGGUGGGGUAAUGGCCUACCAAGUCGACGAUCUAUAGCUGGUCUGAGAGGAUGAUCAGCCACACUGGGACUGAGACACGGCCAGACUCCUACGGGAGGCAGCAGUGGGGAAUAUUGGACAAUGGGCGAAAGCCUGAUCCAGCAAUGCCGCGUGAGUGAUGAAGGCCUUAGGGUUGUAAAGCUCUUUUACCAGGGAUGAUAAUGACAGUACCUGGAGAAUAAGCUCCGGCUAACUCCGUGCCAGCAGCCGCGGUAAUACGGAGGGAGCUAGCGUUGUUCGGAAUUACUGGGCGUAAAGCGCACGUAGGCGGCUUUUCAAGUCAGGGGUGAAAUCCCGGGGCUCAACCCCGGAACUGCCCUUGAAACUGGAUGGCUAGAAUACUGGAGAGGUGAGUGGAAUUCCGAGUGUAGAGGUGAAAUUCGUAGAUAUUCGGAAGAACACCAGUGGCGAAGGCGACUCACUGGACAGUUAUUGACGCUGAGGUGCG
Molecule: ribosomal RNA, 659 nt
Filed under: Erythrobacter sp. K475
Lineage: Bacteria; Pseudomonadati; Pseudomonadota; Alphaproteobacteria; Sphingomonadales; Erythrobacteraceae
Description: bacterial SSU rRNA
Rfam family: Bacterial small subunit ribosomal RNA
Source: RNAcentral